This 351-nucleotide ribosomal RNA is filed under the name uncultured bacterium. RNAcentral's name for it is "partial 16S ribosomal RNA". It matches the Rfam family "Bacterial small subunit ribosomal RNA", at positions 338 to 686 of the family's 1533-position model. The record is from RNAcentral.
CCUACGGGAGGCAGCAGUGAGGAAUAUUGGUCAAUGGGCGCGAGCCUGAACCAGCGACGUAGCGUGAAGGAUGACUGCCCUACGAGUUUUAAACUUCUUUUAUAAAGGAAUACGGUGAGGCACGUGUUCCUUUUUGUAUGUACUUUAUCAAUAAGGAUCGGAUAACUCCGCGCCAGCCGCCGAGGUACUACGGAGGAUCCGAGGGUUAUCAGAAUUUAUUGUGUUUAAAGGGAGCGUAGCUGGGUUGUUAAGUCAGUUGUGAAAGUGUGCGGCUCAACCGGAAAAUUGCACUGGAUACUGGCAGACUGGAGUAUAGUAGAGGUAGGCGGAAUUCGUGGGGUAGCGGUGAAA